GUUUUACCGCUGAGGUCUCGGUAACAGGAAGUACGGUUUGUACUGAGCCUUUACCAAAUGAACGAGUGCCAACAAUAACCGCGCGUUUAUGGUCUUGCAGAGCACCAGCGACAAUUUCUGAGGCCGAUGCAGAGCCGCCAUUAAUUAAUACGACUAACGGAACAUCAGGAAAUAAGGUGUCACUCUGGGCUGCAUAAUUCAUGUCAGACAGUGGGUUACGUCCUUUGGUGUACACAAUAAGGCCGUCGCUGACGAAGCUAUCAACCACUUCAACGGCCGCUUGUAAUACGCCUCCCGGGUUGUUACGCA
RNAcentral lists this non-coding RNA (309 nucleotides) under uncultured Thalassolituus sp. Lineage: Bacteria; Pseudomonadati; Pseudomonadota; Gammaproteobacteria; Oceanospirillales; Oceanospirillaceae. The record is from RNAcentral.